AGCGAACGCUGGCGGCAGGCCUAACACAUGCAAGUCGAACGAACUCUUCGGAGUUAGUGGCGGACGGGUGAGUAACACGUGGGAACGUGCCUUUAGGUUCGGAAUAACUCAGGGAAACUUGUGCUAAUACCGAAUGUGCCCUUCGGGGGAAAGAUUUAUCGCCUUUAGAGCGGCCCGCGUCUGAUUCGCUAGUUGGUGAGGUAAAGGCUCACCAAGGCGACGAUCAGUAGCUGGUCUGAGAGGAUGAUCAGCCACAUUGGGACUGGGACACGGCCCAAACUCCUACGGGAGGCAGCAGUGGGGGAUCUUGCGCAAUGGGCGAAAGCCUGACGCAGCCAUGCCGCGUGAAUGAUGAAGGUCUUAGGAUUGUAAAAUUCUUUCAACGGGGACGAUAAUGACGGUACCCGGAGAAGAAGCCCCGGCUAACUUCGUG
This 433-nucleotide ribosomal RNA is filed under the name uncultured bacterium. RNAcentral describes it as "partial 16S ribosomal RNA". It matches the Rfam family "Bacterial small subunit ribosomal RNA", at positions 29 to 507 of the family's 1533-position model. The record is from RNAcentral.